CACAGAUAACCAUUUGGAGAGAGCAUAUUCUACUGACUGCCUCCUGCUUCGAAGUGAAUGAGGUCUGACCAUUGAAAUUGAUGAGAUUUUCACAAAUGGAGGAAGCUUGAAGGAAGCAUUAUCCAUCAGUCCAUUAUGGUUGGCGCCAUCAUCAUCUUUUCACUGUUACACAGGAUGGGUCACUGUAACAUCAACAAUCUGUCACUGUAUCUGUUGGAUCACACAUCCAUUAUUCACUUUACUGUAGAGUAAUUUUGGUAAAAUUAUUACAAUGUGAUUUUUAAAAUUAUCUACCAUAAUUCUUUUUUUAGUAGAAGAUGAAAUAGUCACACUUGUCUUUCUUACUUAAAAUUGCCUUAAAACCAGGACAGAAUGCAUGGAGAAGCUAUUAAGGACUCUGAAAAUAAAUAGUAGCAGACAGUUUGGGGGAAAAGAUCAGAAUUUAAAGUACCACUGAACUGUCAGUAUUGCCUCCAAUAUCCUCUAGCCUGAACUCGACCACACCUCCAACCCAGAAGUAGUCAUCAGAGCAUUGAUAUAGAAAACGACAGGAGCAAUCCUCUAGUUCAAACUCAAGAAACAUGGCUGGGCGCAGUGGCUCAUGCCUGUAAUCCCAGCGCUUUGGAAGGCAGAGGCGGGUGGAGCACUUGUGGCCAGGAGUUCAAGACUAGCCUGGCCAACAUGGAAAAACCCCAUCUCUACUAAAAAUACAAAAAAAGAAAAUUAGCCAGGUGUGGUGCUGUGUGUCUGUAAUCCCAGCUACUUGGGAGGCUGAGGCAGGAGAAUCACAUGAAUCCGGGAGGUGGAGGUUGCAGUGAGCGGAGAUUGCACCACUGCACUCCAGCCAGGGUGACGGUGAGACUCCAUCUCAAAAAAAAAAAAAAAAAAGAAAUAAGAAAGAUAACUCCUAACACUCAGUGAGAGUAAGAAUUAUUAUGCAUUUUUCCCCUCUAUUCUUGGAUGACCCAGUCCCCAAGCAAUCUCAUGGCAGCAUUGGCAGUAGAGCCAAAACUCUAAGGAAGGGCACCUCCCUGUCUGAUCAGAGGAGUUAUGAUCACCUACGGGUCGUGUGAAACUCUAUUGCUUUUGCCUGUCUCUGUCUACCUGUCACUGAACAACAGAGUGGGACACCCAAAGCCUUAGAUUUCUGGUAUGACAACCACAAGGGGAAGACCAAGAGUACUGCAAAAAUACUAGGGAGAUUGCAGGGAGAGGAGAGCUUGAGAAAGUGAUCCCUGAAUGUUGACUUUGUACUUCUGAGUUCAUCUCAAAUGAUAUAUGCGUGGCUUUGACCCUCAUUAGUGUCAAUAGACUUUGAGAACUGAACUAUGGGAUAAACCACUGCACAUGUCCCAGCCUGGCCACUGGGUGGUGCUCGCCUGGGUCAGAUAUAAACAACACCGCAAAGGCUUUGAAAACAGCUGAUAUUGGAUAAUUUAUAAUCCAUAAAAGACUGGUUCGAACUUGUGGUCUAAACCCGACUGAUUGCCUGUUAAACAAAAAUAUCAACAUUAUUUGUAGGAUUUUUUUAAAAGACCCACAGUCUCAUAAUAAGAUAUUAAAAAUAUCCUGGAUAAUAUCCAAAAUUAUUGGGCAUCCAAAAAUCUAGGAAAAUCACAACUCGUAUAUGAAAGAACAGUUAAUUGACAUAUAUGCUGAGAUGAUGCACGUUAGAAUUUUCUGAAAAAGAUAUUAAAUCAACUAUUAUAAAAAUGGCCCAAUAAACAAAGGCAAUCACUCUUUUAAUAAAUAAAAACAUGGAAAAUCACAGGAAAGAAAUAGAACAAAAAAUAAG
Molecule: long non-coding RNA, 1795 nt
Filed under: Homo sapiens (human)
Lineage: Eukaryota; Metazoa; Chordata; Mammalia; Primates; Hominidae
Description: HSALNT0122864
Source: RNAcentral